RNAcentral lists this ribosomal RNA (387 nucleotides) under uncultured bacterium. RNAcentral's name for it is "bacterial SSU rRNA". It matches the Rfam family "Bacterial small subunit ribosomal RNA", at positions 28 to 416 of the family's 1533-position model. The record is from RNAcentral.
GACGAACGCUGGCGGCGUGCCUAACACAUGCAAGUCGAACGGGACCAGGGGCAACUCUGGUUCAGUGGCGGACGGGUNCGUAACACGUGAGGAACAUGACCUUGGCGGGGGAGUAGCCGGCCCAACGGCCGGGUAAUACCGCGUACGACCAUUCGGGGACAUCCCUGGAUGGUGAAAGCAGCAAUGCGCCGAUGGAGUGCCUCGCGGCCUAUCAGCUAGUUGGUGAGGUAACGGCNCACCAAGGCGACGACGGGUAGCUGGUCUGAGAGGAUGGCCAGCCACAUUGGGACUGAGACACGGCCCAGACUCCUACGGGAGGCAGCAGUGGGGAAUAUUGCGCAAUGGACGAAAGUCUGACGCAGCGACGCCGCGUGUGGGAUGACGGUC